AUAAAAAUUUACAGUAACUUGUAUGACAUAACCCAUUGAAAUACAAUAGAUUGUGUGGCAAACAAUACAAACUAUUGUAUGCUUAUUGUAAAAUGUUCACGGUUGUAAAAGAUCUUUAUUGUACGUACAAUAAAAUAACAAUAUAUUUAAAUGUUUCCGAUAUAUUCUAUUAUAUUUUUAUUAUUCGUUUAUGUUUAGUAUUGCUCAUCCAAAAACUAAACAAAUUUUAAACGUUUCGGUUUGGAUGAUCUGGAAAUCCGUCUAAUGUUAUUGAAUUAAUAUAAUUUUGGAAUAUUUCAUGGAUUUAUUAUAUUGACGAAAUAACAAUUAAAAACAAUAAAAUUACAAUAGCUUUGUUUGUUAAAUAAAUUAAAAUUGUUAUAGCGAUUCUCAAGUAUAUAUUUUCAUAUUGCAGGUCUUGUUGCAGGUCUAGAAAUGUUAUGCAAUACAAAUUUGGUUUUUAAAAAAUGAAAGGUUACAAAAACUUUUGCUUAUCAUUUUACUCGGAGAAUGGCUGAAUUCAUUUGAGCGUGUACAGUUUUGUUUAUAAUUAGUGAAGAGAUGAAAAUAAUGAAACUGUAUGGUGCAGAAAGUGUCUUUUCAUUACAGUUUCUGCUGCUGGGCAAGCGGUAGAUCACUAUGGCUUCUGUACCGUGAAAUGAAGCUUAUGAUAAAUAAAAUACUGCUGCUUGCUGGUCACUGAUUCAAGAUCGUUCAGUGGCUACCAUUGGCCAAUCUCACCAACGGGAUAUAAUAAGAACUGAUGCAGGUUUAUAUCUAUAUGUAUUGUCUAUUCGGAACAAAGUUAGUACGCUUUUCAAACCGAUGUUGGAUUUUUCACCAGAUACAGGCAGCCCACUUAACUUUGGAAGUAGUGCACUGGAUUCGUCUAAAGAUAUGCUAAACAACCGAAGGAAAAUAAAAUAAUUUAUAAAACAAUUAAUUGUAUGAUAUUUUUAUUGUAAUAUUGGAGUAUAAUGUAUUCUAAAUCCUGUUGUAUUUCUAUUGUAAAACAAUAGAAACAGUAAUUGAAAACAUUUAAAACACAAUGUUUUCUAUUGUUUUGUCGCUCGAAAUCAUCCCAUUGAAGUACCGUAAAAUCAAUUGUUUUGCUCCGAAUUUUGUAUGGAAAAUUUUCGAUUUUUUUAUUGUAAAGAUACAUAACAACCCCCCUUUUUAAUUGUAAAAGUCCCAUUUACCAUUCAUUUUAUCGUGGAAAACCAUUAUUUCUCAUGUGAUUUUAUUGUCAAAAUUACAUUAUAUUCAAUGGUAAAAAUUGUGUUUUAAAUGGUGUUGUAACAAUAAAAUUUAUGAUAUUUUAAUGAUAUUUUUUAUCCGGG
Long non-coding RNA from Armigeres subalbatus, 1340 nucleotides. RefSeq lists it as uncharacterized. The transcript has 3 exons. The record is from RefSeq and is a predicted model, not a curated record. Lineage: Eukaryota; Metazoa; Arthropoda; Insecta; Diptera; Culicidae.